Molecule: long non-coding RNA, 675 nt
Filed under: Numida meleagris (helmeted guineafowl)
Lineage: Eukaryota; Metazoa; Chordata; Aves; Galliformes; Numididae
Description: lncRNA (ENSNMEG00000019601.1)
Source: RNAcentral
CUUAACCAUUAGAAUCCUACUGAGCACUGCAAUAAUCUGAAAUUAAAGGAAGAGAUACGUAGUAAUAGGCCCAUAAUUUCAGCACAGAAGUAAUUUCAGAUUUGUCCGGAUGUAAAUUUAUCCUUGAAAAGUUAAAGAAUAAAACCACAGUUGUAUUCCAUAUAUAUACUGAAGAAAUUAUGCAGUGAUUUAAAUGUGUCGAGCUUUUAAAAUGCACCUAAAUAAAUUAAGCCCAUGCCUCUUUAUUUUUUGUUGUUUUCAGUCUAUCUAGCUCCUUUGAAGUUGGGCUAUGGAACACGUUAAUGCAUAGGCUUGAGAUGCAGAAGCAUGAGCAUCAGACUAACCUGGUCUGGCUAACUGGAACCAGUCCAGAUGUGGCCUUCAUGAAAAAAUUGCUUGAGAAAUGGAAGUACCAGAUAAUAUGAAGUCAAAGUCAACUGAAAAUGUUAUCAAACAUCCAUGGCAUGAUGUUAUUUUGGCCAUAAAGAGCUCAAUUGCAACAUGAUGAUGGAAGCACCGAGUGCCACAUGCACUUUUUCUGUCCAUUCAGUUCUGUGUCAUUUCACUGUAUUGGUCUGACAUCCACUUCGGGUGUUUUCUCCAUUGGCUUUUCAUAUCAUGUGUGAUUUUUUUCUGUUCAAUUCCUGCUAUGCAAAGGAAUCCUAAGUAAACCAG